Molecule: ribosomal RNA, 440 nt
Filed under: uncultured bacterium
Lineage: Bacteria
Description: bacterial SSU rRNA
Rfam family: Bacterial small subunit ribosomal RNA
Source: RNAcentral
CCUACGGGUUGCAGCAGUGGGGAAUAUUGGACAAUGGGCGAAAGCCUGAUCCGGCAAUGCCGCGUGUGUGAAGAAGGUCUUCGGAUUGUAAAGCACUUUCGACGGGGACGAUGAUGACGGUACCCGUAGAAGAAGCCCCGGCUAACUUCGUGCCAGCAGCCGCGGUAAUACGAAGGGGGCUAGCGUUGCUCGGAAUGACUGGGCGUAAAGGGCGCGUUGGCGGUUUGUUAAGUCAGAUGUGAAAUCCCCGGGCUCAACCUGGGAACUGCAUCUGAUACUGGCAAGCUUGAGUCUCGUAGAGGGGGGUAGAAUUCCAGGUGUAGAGGUGAAAUUCGUAGAUAUUGGGAAGAACACCGGUGGCGAAGGCGGCAACCUGGCUCGAUACUGACGCUGAGGCGCGAAAGCGUGGGGAGCAAACAGGAUUAGAUACCCGGGUAGUC